GACGAACGCUGGCGGCGUGCUUAACACAUGCAAGUCGAACGGAAAGGCCCUGCGCUUGUGGGGUGCUCGAGUGGCGAACGGGUGAGUAACACGUGAGUAAACUGCCCUUGACUUUGGGAUAACUUCACGAAACUGGGGCUCAUACCGGAUAGGAGCUCCUGCUGCACGGGGGUGGUUGGAAAGUUUCGGCGGUUGUGGCUGGACUCGCGGCUUACCAGCUUGUUGGUGGGGUAGUGGCGUCCCAAGGCUUUGAAGGGUAGCCGGCCUUGGAGGGUGACCGGCCUCCUUGGGCCUGCGGUACGGCCCAGUCUCCUACCGGCGGCAGUAGUGGGGAAUAUUGCGGAAUGGGCCGACGCCUGAUGCAGCGGCGCCCCGUGCGGGAUGCCGGCCUUCGGGUUGUGAACCGCUUUCUCCUGUGCCGAAGCCUGAGUGACGGUACUGGGUCAAGAAGCCCCGGCUAACUACGUG
This 468-nucleotide ribosomal RNA is filed under the name uncultured bacterium. Its description in RNAcentral is "partial 16S ribosomal RNA". It matches the Rfam family "Bacterial small subunit ribosomal RNA", at positions 28 to 507 of the family's 1533-position model. The record is from RNAcentral.